AGAGUUUGAUCCUGGCUCAGGACGAACGCUGGCGGCGUGCUUAACACAUGCAAGUGGUGCGACGAACCAGGGCUUGCCUUGGGGCAAAGCCGCGAACGGGUGAGUAACACGUGGGUAAUCUGCCCCGAUGACUGGGAUAACCCGAGGAAACUCGGGCUAAUACCGGAUGAAGUGUACUGGCAUAAGCCGGUCCACUAAAGGUAGCUUCAGCUUCCGCAUUGGGAGGGGCCCGCGGCCCAUUAGCUUGUUGGUGGGGUCAAGGCCUACCAAGGCAACGAUGGGUAGCUGGUCUGAGAGGACGAUCAGCCACACUGGGACUGAGACACGGCCCAGACUCCUACGGGAGGCAGCAGUGGGGAAUCUUGCGCAAUGCGCGAAAGCGUGACGCAGCAACACCGCGUGAGGGAAGACGGCCUUAGGGUUGUAAACCUCUUUCAGAUGGGACGAAGGUGAUGCGGUGAAUAGCCGAUGUCAUUGACGGUACCGUCAGAAGAAGCUCCGGCUAACUACGUGCCAGCAGCCGCGGUAAUACGUAGGGAGCGAGCGUUGUCCGGAAUCAUUGGGCGUAAAGAGCGCGUAGGUGGGUUAAUUAGUCUGCUGUGAAAGUCAAAGGCUCAACCUUUGAAAGCCGGCGGAUACUAUUGAUCUAGAGUACGGAAGAGGCGAGUGGAACUCCUGGUGUAGCGGUGGAAUGCGCAGAUAUCAGGAGGAACACCAAUAGCGAAGGCAGCUCGCUGGGACGUUACUGACACUGAGGCGCGAAAGCGUGGGGAGCAGACAGGAUUAGAUACCCUGGUAGUCCACGCCGUAAACGAUGGGUACUAGGUGUGGGAGGUGUCGACUCCUCCCGUACCGUCGCUAACGCACUAAGUACCCCGCCUGGGGAGUACGGCCGCAAGGCUAAAACUCAAAUGAAUUGACGG
Molecule: ribosomal RNA, 923 nt
Filed under: uncultured bacterium
Lineage: Bacteria
Description: bacterial SSU rRNA
Rfam family: Bacterial small subunit ribosomal RNA
Source: RNAcentral